Molecule: transfer RNA, 83 nt
Filed under: Escherichia coli
Lineage: Bacteria; Pseudomonadati; Pseudomonadota; Gammaproteobacteria; Enterobacterales; Enterobacteriaceae
Description: tRNA-Arg
Source: RNAcentral
GCAUCCGUAGCUCAGCUGGAUAGAGUACUCGGCUACGAACCGAGGGGGGAGCCGCAAGGCGAGUAAUCCUCCCGGAUGCACCA